This 494-nucleotide ribosomal RNA is filed under the name uncultured bacterium. Its description in RNAcentral is "partial 16S ribosomal RNA". It matches the Rfam family "Bacterial small subunit ribosomal RNA", at positions 28 to 507 of the family's 1533-position model. The record is from RNAcentral.
GACGAACGCUGGCGGCGUGCUUAACACAUGCAAGUCGAACGGAAAGGCCUGCUUUCCUUUGUGGAUUGCGGGUACUCGAGUGGCGAACGGGUGAGUAACACGUGAGUGAUCUGCCCCCAACUUGGGUAUAAGCCUGGGAAACUGGGUCUAAUUCCCGAUAGGACUGCAGGGUGGUGCCUGUGGUGGAAAACGAUUUUCUAGUGGUUGGGGAUGAGCUCGCGGCCUAUCAGCUUGUUGGUGGGGUAAUGGCCUACCAAGGCGGCGACGGGUAGCCGGCCUGGGAGGGUGGACGGCCACAUUGGGACUGAGAUACGGCCCAGACUCCUACGGGAGGCAGCAGUGGGGAAUAUUGCACAAUGGGCGGAAGCCUGAUGCAGCGACGCCGCGUGGGGGAUGACGGCCUUCGGGUUGUAAACUCCUUUCGACCGCGAGGAAGCCACCUGGUUGGAAGGGUGGUGACGGUAGUGGUAGAAGAAGCACCGGCUAACUACGUG